RNAcentral lists this ribosomal RNA (1458 nucleotides) under uncultured prokaryote. RNAcentral describes it as "partial 16S ribosomal RNA". It matches the Rfam family "Bacterial small subunit ribosomal RNA". The record is from RNAcentral.
UCAGAACGAACGCUGGCGGCGUGGUUUAGGCAUGCAAGUCGAGCGAGAAAGUUUCCUUCGGGAAGCGAGUACAGCGGCGAACUGGUGAGUAACAGACGAGUAACGUGCCCGAAUGUGGGGGAUAACCUUGGGAAACCAGGGCUAAUACCGCAUGUCGUCUUUCCCCCGCGGGAGAAAGGAAAAAGGCACUUGUGUCGCAUGAGGAUCAGCCCGCUCCCGAUUAGCUUGUUGGUGGGGUAAUGGCCUACCAAGGCAACGAUCGGUAGGUGGCCUGAGAGGGUGGUCACCCACACUGGGAUUGAGAUACGGCCCAGACUCCUACGGGGGGCAGCAGUCUAGAGGCAUCCACAAUAGGGGAAACCCUGAUGGUGCGACGCCGCGUGUGGGAUGAAGGCCCUUGGGUUGUAAACCACUGUCAGGAGGGAAUAAGGCCCCGGUGGAGGACCUCCGGGGUUUGAAGGUACCUCCAGAGGAAGCACCGGCUAACUCCGUGCCAGCAGCCGCGGUAAUACGGAGGGUGCAAGCGUUGUUCGGAUUUAUUGGGCGUAAAGGGUGCGUAGGCGGGUUGGCAAGUCUCUUGGUUAAAUUUUCACCGCUCAACGGGAAAAACGCCGGAGAUACUGCCAGUCUUGAGAGCGGUAGGGGUGAGUGGAAUUCCUGGUGUAACGGUGGAAUGUUUAGAUAUCAGGAAGAACACCAGUGGCGAAGGCGACUCACUGGACCGCAUCUGACGCUGAGGCACGAAAGCUAGGGGAGCGAACAGGAUUAGAUACCCUGGUAGUCCUAGCCGUAAACGGUGAGCACUAGGUGUGGGGGGUUAUCGACCCCUUCCGUGCCGUAGCAAACGCAUUAAGUGCUCCGCCUGGGAAGUACGACCGCAAGGUUGAAACUCAAAGGAAUUGACGGGGGCCCGCACAAGCGGUGGAGCAUGUGGUUUAAUUCGAUGCAACGCGAAGAACCUUACCCGGGCUCAAACGCGAGGGAAAAGCCGCCGAAAGGCGGUGUGCCUUCGGGCGUCCUUGCGAGGUGCUGCAUGGCUGUCGUCAGCUCGUGUCGUGAGAUGUUGGGUUAAGUCCCGCAACGAGCGCAACCCUUGCUUCUAGUUACCAGCGGGUAAUGCCGGGGGCUCUAGAAGGACUGCCCACGCAAGUGGGAGGAAGGUGGGGAUGACGUCAAGUCCUCAUGGCCCUUACGUCCGGGGCUACACACGUGCUACAAUGGCCGGUACAGAGAGUUGCGAGGCCGCGAGGUGGAGCUAAUCUCAAAAAGCCGGCCCCAGUUCGGAUUGGAGUCUGCAAUUCGACUCCAUGAAGGCGGAGUCGCUAGUAAUCCCGUAUCAGCCACGACGGGGUGAAUGCGUUCCCGGGCAUUGUACACACCGCCCGUCACACCACGAAAGUCGGCUUCUCCUGAAGUCGGUGUACCAACCCCUCGGGGAGGAAGCUGCCGAUGGAGAGG